Molecule: long non-coding RNA, 773 nt
Organism: Centrocercus urophasianus (Greater sage-grouse)
Lineage: Eukaryota; Metazoa; Chordata; Aves; Galliformes; Phasianidae
Exons: 5
Source: RefSeq, a predicted model, not a curated record
CCAGUGACCUGACCCAGUUGCACUUUAGAGGUGGCUGCCUUUUAAUUAUUUUGGUGCUGUUUGUGAAGAACUGGAUAAAGACACACACAGCAUCUCUGGUGGUAGAGAAAUAUUGUGGAUUAAGGACAUGACAGUGGAAGCCCUCAUCCUUCAAGCUGAAGACCGCUCAGAGCUCCUCAUCACAAGACAGAAAUUUUUAAUGCUGUGGAACUAUCAAUAUAUCAGAAACUGCCAAUGGAGAUGGGCUGAGAAACCAAGAUCAGACAUAGCUGUUGCCUCUGUAGGCAGAUGACCAUGACUACCCAGAGAGCAAUAUAGAGCUGGAUUGUUCAAGUCCAGGGAAUUGCUGAUGAGAUCGAGCCCACCUGGAGCAAGUGAGAACCUGAUUGUGAGGGGCCUGAUGAUAAUCCUUGGACAAGCACUCUUCUCCUCAAGCCUGGCGUGAACUCAGAAAUCUGCUGCUGAGCUGGGACCGCUUUGCCUCGCCAUUAAGCGAAACUGGAGCAGAGUUGAGCCCUGUAUCGAAGCUCGCUUAUCCCCAAGGUGAUGCGCCUCAAUUCUGCGCGGAUCAUGCCCAGCACCUUCCUGAGAAAAGAUUUCUGUGAGACUUCAGCCUGCAGAACACUGUUCGUAUCUUCUGUAUGCAGAGAUUUUUGGGACUCAUUGGAGAGUUUUUGCCCUAAGAAAGAAAUGAUUUGAGACUUUCGCAAGGCAAAUAAUGAAACAUAAUCACUAUGGGAAUCGGUUUGUUGGAGCUGGAGGUAAGAAGGAAA